RNAcentral lists this ribosomal RNA (530 nucleotides) under Talaromyces pinophilus. RNAcentral describes it as "eukaryotic LSU rRNA". The stretch from base 171 to 324 matches the Rfam family "5.8S ribosomal RNA". Lineage: Eukaryota; Fungi; Ascomycota; Eurotiomycetes; Eurotiales; Trichocomaceae. The record is from RNAcentral.
GCGGGCUCGCGGCCCAACCUCCCACCCUUGUCUCUAUACACCUGUUGCUUUGGCGGGCCCACCGGGGCCACCUGGUCGCCGGGGGACGCACGUCCCCGGGCCCGCGCCCGCCGAAGCGCUCUGUGAACCCUGAUGAAGAUGGGCUGUCUGAGUACUAUGAAAAUUGUCAAAACUUUCAACAAUGGAUCUCUUGGUUCCGGCAUCGAUGAAGAACGCAGCGAAAUGCGAUAAGUAAUGUGAAUUGCAGAAUUCCGUGAAUCAUCGAAUCUUUGAACGCACAUUGCGCCCCCUGGCAUUCCGGGGGGCAUGCCUGUCCGAGCGUCAUUUCUGCCCUCAAGCACGGCUUGUGUGUUGGGUGUGGUCCCCCCGGGGACCUGCCCGAAAGGCAGCGGCGACGUCCGUCUGGUCCUCGAGCGUAUGGGGCUCUGUCACUCGCUCGGGAAGGACCUGCGGGGGUUGGUCACCACCAUGUUUUUACCACGGUUGACCUCGGAUCAGGUAGGAGUUACCCGCUGAACUUAUGCAUAUCA